AUGCAGGUGCUCGUGUGGAAUGUCCAUGGAUUAAACUCCCUGGCCAAGCGUCAUUCUAUCUUCCAAGUGGUGGCUUCGGUAGACCCUAAUAUUGUUUGUUCCUAGGAGACCAAGAUGGAGAUUGUAACUCUGGAUGUUGUCAAACAAUGUCUCGGUAAUACAUUUGGGAGCUUCUUUUAUCUCCCGACGGUCGAAAUGUGUGGUGGAAUUUUGCUGGCAUGGGACCCGUUGGUGGUCACAUUAUCAAACCCUCACCCCCUGAUAACACUCUGUCAGCCUUAG
This 282-nucleotide ribosomal RNA is filed under the name Triticum aestivum (bread wheat). RNAcentral describes it as "partial small subunit ribosomal RNA". The record is from RNAcentral. Lineage: Eukaryota; Viridiplantae; Streptophyta; Magnoliopsida; Poales; Poaceae.